This 301-nucleotide ribosomal RNA is filed under the name uncultured Acholeplasma sp. Its description in RNAcentral is "bacterial SSU rRNA". It matches the Rfam family "Bacterial small subunit ribosomal RNA", at positions 1077 to 1382 of the family's 1533-position model. Lineage: Bacteria; Bacillati; Mycoplasmatota; Mollicutes; Acholeplasmatales; Acholeplasmataceae. The record is from RNAcentral.
GGGUUAAGUCCCGCAACGAGCGCACCUUGUCUUUAGUUACCAUCAUUCAGUUGGGGACUCUAGAGAGACUGCCGGUGAUAAACCGGAGAAGGUGGGGAUGACGUCAAAUCAUCAUGCCCCUUAUGGCCUGGGCUACAAACGUAAUACAAUGGCGUAUACAAAGGGCAGCGAAGCAGUGAUGUGGAGCGAAACCCAAAAAAGCAGUCUCAGUUCGGAUUGAAGUCUGCAACUCGACUUCAUGAAGUCGGAAUCGCUAGUAAUCGCGGAUCAGAACGCCGCGGUGAAUACGUUCUCGGGGUUU